AUUGAACGCUGGCGGAAUGCUUUACACAUGCAAGUCGAGCGGCAGCGCGGGGGCAACCCUGGCGGCGAGCGGCGAACGGGUGAGUAACAUAUCGGAACGUACCCAGUCGUGGGGGAUAACUAUCCGAAAGGAUAGCUAAUACCGCAUACGACCUGAGGGUGAAAGCGGGGGACCGUAAGGCCUCGCGCGAUUGGAGCGGCCGAUAUCGGAUUAGCUAGUUGGUGAGGUAAAGGCUCACCAAGGCGACGAUCCGUAGCUGGUCUGAGAGGACGACCAGCCACACUGGAACUGAGACACGGUCCAGACUCCUACGGGAGGCAGCAGUGGGGAAUUUUGGACAAUGGGGGGCAACCCUGAUCCAGCAACGCCGCGUGAGGGAAGAAGGCUUUCGGGUUGUAAACCUCUGUCCUUGGUGACGAAACAAAUGACGGUAGCCAAGGAGGAAGCCCCGGCUAACUACGUGCCAGCAGCCGCGGUAAU
RNAcentral lists this ribosomal RNA (480 nucleotides) under uncultured bacterium. RNAcentral describes it as "bacterial SSU rRNA". It matches the Rfam family "Bacterial small subunit ribosomal RNA", at positions 29 to 524 of the family's 1533-position model. The record is from RNAcentral.